This is a long non-coding RNA of Triticum dicoccoides, 895 nucleotides long. RefSeq lists it as uncharacterized. NCBI's taxonomy places the organism in Eukaryota, Viridiplantae, Streptophyta, Magnoliopsida, Poales, Poaceae. The transcript has 2 exons. The record is from RefSeq and is a predicted model, not a curated record.
UAAAUAAGAAAACCCACCCAGUCCCGCACCCCCCGCACCACCCCCUCCAGCCACCGGUCCGCCACCGGUCCUAAAUCCGGCCGCCGCGCAGCUCCCUCCCCGGGAUCCGGCCGCCGCGACACCACCUCCCCCGGAUCCGGCCACCGGACUGCCUCCUUCCCCCGGAUCCGGCCGGGAUUGAUCCCACCGCCGCCUGCCACCACCAAGCACUGGCGUGCGACCCCGACGCCGCCUCCCUCUAUGAAGCGCCGGCGCCCGACCCUGUCACCUACCUCUGGUACGCCGUCGCGCCUCCGCAGGGUGCCCCUGACAUCGCCCAGCUCCUCCUCACAUGACGACCCCCUGCGACGCACGCCUCCUCGAUGUUCUGCCCCGGACAUGGGCGCCUCCCCGUCCACCCUCCGGCGACCGAAACCAGCUCCGCCCGCCGUAGCAGAGGACAUGCCCCGUUCGUGGACUCCCCUCCCCUCCGCCCGGGUGCGACCUGCCCUGCGCUCUGGCGCGACCUGCUCUCUGUUUGCAGGAAAAAUAAAAGAAACCACUUUCUACAUGCAAAAGGGCAUCAAGUUUUGGAAGAAGUAUGGUGUUUAAUGAAAAAAUGAGGAAAAAAAGGAUCCUCAAGCAAAUCAAGCAAUGGAAAUCUUCCUUGGUGGAGCUAGUAAUGCAAAGCUGCAAAAAAGCUGCAAAGCUUCAGUUUUAUGUAAUCUUGGCUAAAUUGUGAUAAUUUUAUGUUGUUAUGAACCUCUGCUGUACUGUUAAGAUUGAACUUUUCACAAAGUCCUAUGUUGAAGCUCCUCCUUCUGUUUUUCAUUUAUGUGUACUUCUACGGUUCAAUUUAAUGCAAACCAUUUUUGUACGUGUGAACAUCAAAGGUUCAGUGUUACAUUCUUGCUCA